This 289-nucleotide ribosomal RNA is filed under the name uncultured Erythrobacteraceae bacterium. RNAcentral describes it as "partial 16S ribosomal RNA". Lineage: Bacteria; Pseudomonadati; Pseudomonadota; Alphaproteobacteria; Sphingomonadales; Erythrobacteraceae. The record is from RNAcentral.
CUACUGGGGUAUCUAAUCCUGUUUGCUCCCCACGCUUUCGUGCCUCAGCGUCAAUACCUGUCCAGCGAGUCGCCUUCGCCACUGGUGUUCUUCCGAAUAUCUACGAAUUUCACCUCUACACUCGGAAUUCCACUCGCCUCUCCAGGAUUCUAGCUUACCAGUUUCAAAGGCAGUUCCGGGGUUGAGCCCCGGGAUUUCACCCCUGACUUAAUAAGCCGCCUACGCACGCUUUACGCCCAGUAAUUCCGAACAACGCUAGCUCCCUCCGUAUUACCGCGGCUGCUGGCAC